CGUCUGGUUAAUUCCGUUAACGAACGAGAACCUUAACCUGCUAAAUAGCUAGGCCUAACAUUGUUAGGUCGCCAGCUUCUUAGAGGGACUAUCGGUGUUUAACCGAUGGAAGUUUGAGGCAAUAACAGGUCUGUUAUGCCCUUAGAUGUUCUGGGCCGCACGCGCGCUACACUGAUGAAGUCAUCGAGUUCAUUUCCUUUAUCGGAAGAUAUGGGUAAUCUUUUGAAACUUCAUCGUGCUGGGGGAUAGGGCAUUGCAAUG
RNAcentral lists this ribosomal RNA (261 nucleotides) under uncultured fungus. RNAcentral describes it as "partial small subunit ribosomal RNA". It matches the Rfam family "Eukaryotic small subunit ribosomal RNA", at positions 1312 to 1591 of the family's 1831-position model. Lineage: Eukaryota; Fungi. The record is from RNAcentral.